CAGCAGCCGCGGGAAUACGAAGGGGGCUAGCGUUACUCGGAAUUACUUGGCGUAAAGGGAGCGUAGGCGGAUGUUUAAGUCAGAGGUGAAAGCCCAGGGCUCAACCUUGGAACUGCCUUUGAUACUGGACAUCUUGAGUGUGGGAGAGGUAAGCGGAACUCCGAGUGUAGAGGUGAAAUUCGUAGAUAUUCGGAAGAACACCAGUGGCGAAGGCGGCUUACUGGCCCAUUACUGACGCUGAGGCUCGAAAGCGUGGGGAGCAAACAGGAUUAGAUACCCCUGUAGUCCCUGUCUCUUAUAC
This 301-nucleotide ribosomal RNA is filed under the name uncultured bacterium. RNAcentral describes it as "partial 16S ribosomal RNA". It matches the Rfam family "Bacterial small subunit ribosomal RNA", at positions 509 to 807 of the family's 1533-position model. The record is from RNAcentral.